GGAUUUGAAAUUCAAAAUAAUAUUUCUGUUUCAUAUUGAUAUUACAAUUUUGAGGAGUUUCUCUUAUUGUAUAUAAGAUUUUUAGUGGAUGAAGUUCAGUCUACAGUUUUUAUUCUUCGUCACCUAACUGUAGCCAACACCUUGCUCAUUUUUUUUUUUUUCUGGAAAAAAUUUUAAAGAUCAUAGCAGCUUUUUGAUUAAAACAUUUUCCGUUAUUUUGCACGCAAACUUGUUUACUGUAUUCACAGAGUGCCCUGUUAUGGGACCAUAAGCAACACCUGCUUUCUUAGUGUCUUUUAUACCUUUAUUAUCAGCACCAAAAACUUCAUGUGCCCUCAAGCUUAAAAUAAAAGCCCUAAUGUACAUUGGCUUCUCCCAUGCACUGUGCUGGGUUCAGAACAUGCUGAUAAAUAUCAGAGUUUCUGUGAUUGUGACUGAGAAAUUAAAUGGCAGGAGCAGCACAGAAACCAUAUGUUUUUGAUACUAUUUAGCCAAAUCAAUGACAAAGAGACAGUAUUUUACACACUGGUAUUCUUCUGU
RNAcentral lists this long non-coding RNA (540 nucleotides) under Homo sapiens (human). RNAcentral's name for it is "non-protein coding lnc-ZNF726-6:1". Lineage: Eukaryota; Metazoa; Chordata; Mammalia; Primates; Hominidae. The record is from RNAcentral.